CAAUGACCCUUUCAAAAUAAGAACUCAGUGCUAAUGUCCUGAAAUCUCUAAACACCUGAAGAGCAAUUAUGGAAUUGUGACUAAUAGCCAUCAGCUCUAAAAAUAAACCUAAAGGCACUUCUUUGUAACCCACAAAUAAAUCCCUUCUUGUACAUUCUGCUUGCAUCUGACUUGGUGAUCAAAGCCUUAUAGAAGGAACCUAUUUAUUUCUUUAAAAAUGAGAAUUAGAUGAAGGUUAUGAUAAAGUUUCUAAGGAAAGUCACUGUUGAAAUGUGCUCCAGCAUCUAUUGUGCUCUGUCAGUGAUCAUCAGUAAAACUCAGGUAAACGAUGUCACUUUUCUUUUUCAGUGAAUACUGCAUCUCCAAAUGGAGAGAAACAAGUGAAGUCCCUCUCUUUUCAAGAACAAGUUGUUUGAUAUAGCUUCACUGGUUUCUUCAGGUUACCUGCGGCCAAGGAUGAUAAAGCACAUGAUGGAUGGUUUACAUCAGAAAGAUUUGUAUUUCUUCAUGCCAAAGAAGAAAACAGAGCAAGGGAUGCAGAAAGGGUGAAAGAACAUAUCUGAUAAGAAGUGACACUCAUGACAACUACCAUGUGUUGAUGGUCACAGAGUGUUUAUCCCUGGUAAAUGUUACCAAAAAGAAAAAAAAUGCAGUCACUGGUUGCAACCAGCGCAACUUCAUGUGAGGGGAGACCUGCUUGUUGAAUGUGAUUUUCUUCUCCAACAAGGUAUGGCUUCAGUUGAAUUCCCACCUUUUCACAGAAGCUGAACUAACCUGACCUCUUAAAGGCUCUGUCAAGUCUUUCAGAUGCCAUUGGUGACAUCCGGAAGUUGCAACUAUAUUUUGGCAUGAAAAAGUUAGAAGAGUAAGACCUUCACCAGAAUUGUGAAACAGAAGGAACGACUGAAAGGUGAUUGAAUGACACAGACAGUAAAAGGAAGCUACAAAACAGAGAUACUGUGAUUGUUCUAUUUUAAAAAGUAGGGGUUGUGGGGUUUUGGCACCUGGCAAAAUGGAUUUUUUUGUAUCUGGAGAGAUAAUCACUGAAAGACUGAAUAAUACAUAAUGGCUAAUAGAUACAACCCAUGAGACAAAGUGCAGUGGUUCUGUGAAGUGUAACAGUAGUUGAAAGUUAAAACCACCCAUGCAGUCACCCAGCAGCCUCUGAUAAACCAUCUAGACAAUAAUUUUGGUGUGUAUAAAUUCUAUAGAAAAAAUCUAUUUCCACAGCAACUGGUGGCUGCAGAGUAUUUCCACAAUUUUAAAGGGAGUAAAAAGGGAAAAUAUUUUGAACGUAUGGUGGAAUUGAAUAAAUUGACAAUGUCCUGUCAGUUUUAUAUAAGGUUCUGGUGAGGUCAGAAAUUUAUAGUACUCAUGGUGGAAUCUCUUCCUGGGCAGUAAACAGAAUGGACCUAUCCAAAAUCUUUUGCUCAGUGAAUCUGAUCUGGUGAGAAAAUACAUUGCAACAUUGGUGCUUUGGAGAAUUCUUAAUAUUGAAGAGGCCAAGUUGUUGCCCAGUAACCCCCAAAAGAUGAAUUCAGGCGUUGCAGCAGAGACGAUACCAAAAGUAGCAGGAAAUUCCAUGUUUAUCCCACCUGAUAUCUCCACCCUCUGAACCUCAUAAAAUAUUUUUCUUCUUCAUUAGACAUAUAUAUUUAUCACAAUUAUUUUCUCAGAAUAGGGUGUUGCUUGACUUCCUAUCUCUUUACCUAUCACAACCAUAACCAUCACAAUCAUCAUCAUCAUAGUGUUUCAUUGCACUUAAUCUAUUUAGAAUAGUUCAGAAUCUUCUCAUUCUUUCUUCUGCUUCCCAGAUGCAUUCUCUGGGACUAAAACCUCUCCUCAGACUUUGCCCAAAAUCUUCUAGCUUGCCAAGUGAACACACAGUCACACAAUAAAAGAUAGAGAAUAAAAACCCAAAAAAUAUGCCCAGUAAAAAAUGCUGCAGGCCACAGAGUCCAAGCUAACACUGAGCAUAUGAGGGCCACAGAUCAACUGGCAGAAACCUCAACAAUUUAGAAAAAAUGUUUGACAACAGUAGAAAAAGGAAAAAUUACGAAGAAAGAUGAACAGUGAAACAGAACCUUGUGAUAAGUUUAAGUGAAAAAGCAGGUGAAGAAGAAACUGAACUUUCAGCUAGGUCAAGGAGAGGGAUAUACUCAGAAUAUCAUCAAAGUCAAAGCAAUUCUAAAAAUCAUUGAACAACGUUUAACAAAAUAUCACCAGCAGAAAAAUGCAAAGAUUCAAGCAGAGCUGCACUCCCCAUGAAGCCAUGAUAUCAAACAGGGCAUGAGGACAACAAAGCAAAGACAUCAAUAGUGUGGAGCACUUGUUAGAUCAGAUGCAAAACUCACCCACUGCAAGGUCAGCACAGAGCUAAGGGAAAUACCAGAUAAAAAGUGAGUGUAUUAGCUCUGCUAAUCUCAGAACACUGUAAACUUUGUAUAAGGGUAAAAGUAUAAAAAAUGGAAUCAUCUGCAUGUGGAACAAUGAGGAAAGAAGAGAAGAGAGGGAAAGAGAGAUAGAAAUAGGAAAAAAGCAGGGGAAAGGAGAAAGAGGUGAGGGGAAAAGGAAAAUGGGAAAGGGAGGGAGGGAAAAUUUUUGUAAUGCAAAAAGUAAUUAGUUUAAUUUGGUAAUUUUAGAAUUAUUUCCCAUGAGAAAAAUUAAAAUCUUCAGAAUAACAUUGGUAUUUAUCCCAAGAGAUAGGCAAAUUCUUUAUAAACACGAACAUGAUUUUUGCUUAAAGAUCUCAUUUAUUUCUUAUCCUGUCUUUUCACCAGGCUGAGUUUUCUGGCUGACUUAGGAAAAAAGGACAUAGCCAGAUGAUGACAUGAGAGAAACUAAUGUUGUCUUUACAGUGAUAUGUCUCAGUAAAUCUUAUUCUUCUAAAAAUCUGUGCAAUGAUUGUUAAAAACAAACACAAUUUGAGUUCAGAUGUGGAGACAAUGAGAGAAAGAAACAAUAUGGCAAUGAAGAACCAAAAAGAAGGUUUGCUGGAGAAAUAGAAAAAGACAAGAAAUAAGAAAAUAAAUAGAAACAGAAGUAGGGAAAAAGGACAAUUUUGAAGAGCUCAACAAGAUAUGAGGCAUUUCUACAAAUAACCUGUAGGGCUAUGUUUUUUGUGUUUGCAGUAGGACCGCUUUGGGCACAGAAGAUCUCAUGUGCAAUAUCAGAUUAUCAAUAGCCAGUCCAGGGAUCUUGCUGAACAUUUGUAUCAGCCAGCAGCAGCGUUUCCAUGAAGGCAGCAGGCAGAGUCCAUCUGGACUUCUAAGUGGGAUCAUUUCAUGUUUAAGGACUAUGAUUUGAAUUCAGGCCAUUUCUGGCUAAUGAAAAAUACAUGGUAGUUCAUGGCAUCAGUAAGAUGAUUUGCCCUGAGUUACUGUGUCAUGCUAUUGACAAUGGGAAAAGACAAAUCUUCUAAUAAAUACCUUCUUUAAAUGCUGUCUUUCUAAUGAAAUAAUCUAUAUGCAGUACUCCAAAAAAUUUUAUUUUAGCACGUUUCUGCUCAGCCAUUAAUGUAAUGCUAAUCACAUUUGUUUGUCUGUCACCAUCUAGACUAUUGCAAAUAAGAAACAAUAAAAGGAAAUGAGACUAUAUAUGAAGGGGAGAGAAAUAAAUUUUGUUAAAGUUCUUCAAGCUAAUAAUAAACACUGUAGCAAAAAACUAAAUGGAAGGAAAAUGGAAGAACAAGAGAGAGUGACAUGAAAAAAUAGAACAAUAUAGAAAGCAGUAAGAGGUGAAAAUGAUACCCUGAAGCAUGAUUAAAUAUAAGACAGGAUGUCAAUAAUUCAUAAAAAGAAAUGGCUACUUAGAAAUGUAAAGCUUACCUCAGCUUGGUUUGGAGAUAUUGUCAGUAUACAGGUGUGAAAGGGGUCUGUGAUCUGCCAGUAAUCAAUCAGUGUUUUAUAUUUAAAAAAAAAAGAACUUGAAUAAUUUAUACUGAAUAUUUCAUUCUGCCUCUAAGAAUUGAACAUAGUACCUGGAAACAGCUGGGCCAAUGAUCUCAUGACUAAUAAGGAAGGUCCAGACCUGAGUGAUGUCAAUCUAAUUCAUAUAGCCAGGAACAUGGAUGGUUGUGACAGUAUUUGAAGAUAAGAAGAUGGAAAUAAACGUCUACCCUGGACUGAGCAAAAUGUGAAGGCUGUCAAAAGAGAUGUUGGCAGUGUGCCCUAUCUGUGUGGGGAUAUAUUACCAGUUAUGGAUCUAGACUCUCUAAACUCUCAAAUUAGGACCAAUAUUUUCAUUUAAACUUUCCCUUCUCAUCAGGUAAGGCAUUAUGUGUUCAGAAAGAAACAAAAUGGAAUAUUGUUUGCAGACAGGUAAUGGUAUAAUCACUUGUCAUUCUCUAAGAGAGCACUGGCAGGCUGGAUGCAGAGUAAAUCACAAAAUGUUACCAACAGUCUAAAAAAGAUAUUCUCAUUUAGCCUGUAUUCUGAAAAUAUUUUGCUACUGAGACAGCUGCUUGUAUGUAUUUGUCCUGGAAAAAAAAAAAAACAAAAAAAAAAAACAAAAACCAAAGAUAACCAAAAAACUUUCAAGGGUUACCAGAGCACAUAAAUCCCAGUCAGAAGAAUGUGAAAAGAGGUAUCCUGAAAAUUACUCGAGUUGCAAGAGGACAUGAAGACAUUAGCACUUCAUGAGGAAGGUCUCAGACUUCAGGAGCCUCCUCGUGUUACAGUUCCAGGAAUGGUUGAGACAUCAGUCAACCAAGAGAAGUGAAACCAAGGAAAGUGAUGCUGUCCCCUCUCCUGGUUUCCCCUGGAACUCUCCCGGGGUGUUUUCUGUACUCAGUGCCAUCACUUUGACCUCACCCUUUACAAUAAAUGCUUUCAUUUUUAUGAUUAUAAAUAUCUCUCACAGCUAAGGUAGCUGUAAAGAAGCAAAGCAUGAACGUUGUCAAUAUAUGUAUUCAGCAUUUGCUGUUGUUCUUCACCUAAUUAAAGAGAGGUUUUAAAAUACUUGAUUUAGCUCAUUAUUUAUGUUGUAGUUUUUGACAAAAAUUAAUUGUUCUGAGGGAGCAACUCAGAGUCCUAGAGAAAGUAUUAUGGUGACACAGUAAGUACAUUUAAUAUUUUAUUGCACAUAUUCCUGAGAAAAUGUUUCUUUCGGAUUUCUCUUUGAUUUCUCUCUGGUUUUGGUGUUAUAUUAACAAUUCCACAAUGUAUCUCUGAGCAGCAGUUUUGUGGGUGUCUUCAUUUUUCUUGUCAAUUCUUCUGCUUAUCACAUGUGAAACAAAUGAAGAGCACCAUGAAAUUUGAUAGCAUGAUAUUUGUGCAGUGCUUAUCUUAGAAUAGUCUUUACUGCUCCUUGUUAUUGCCCCCAUUCUCCAUCAAGCUAAGUAGAAUAUCAAAAAUUUCAAUUUUCCCAAUAUUAAACUAUGUGACAAAAGUCCUCAAAAUGAACCCUUUGAAAAAAAUGCAUUCCACCCGCUUUUAUAACUUUUCUGCUUGAGACUCGUACUGACAGUCUCCUAUCCCUCCAAGCUGCACUCUAAAUUCAUAAGCAGUUAGAUUUUGCUUUCGAUCCCUGAGCAGAUUUCAAGUUAAAUAUUGCUUUCAAACCAUCUAAUCACAACAACCACUUGGUCUGCUUCCUUCCAUGCUGAGGGAGACUUUUCAAUUUUAUUUGGUGUUUAAGUUUAUCAUGGCACAAAUCUCUUCCAUCGGUGCUCAAGAAGUGUAAAUGUUGGCCUGCUAGAUCAUUUUAGCACCUAUUGAGGCAUACUUGUUUUCUGAGAGAUAAAAAAAUAAAUAAAUAAAUAAAACAGGUGAACAGAAUGCUUCAGAUGAUUCAUAAACAUGUGAGCUAUAGUUUCUGGGUUGUUUUUGGUUGGUUGCUUUGCUUGUGGGUUGUUUUCAUGUUCUCAAAAACUGUCUCAAAGUCUUUUCCUGAAAUCAGGUUUGCCAGUCACUUUCAGACGAGUCAUGUUGAUGCACAUGUUAGGGAAAAUUCUUACUGGCAUGUUGAAAGAGACUGCUUUUUUCCCAGCAGGAAAGGUGUUGUGGAAUUAACUCUUUCUAAGUCAAAUAUUUAACCUCCAAACCAUUAGAAAGAAAGGCUUCUUUUACCAAGGUGCAAGACAUAGAUCAUCUACAGACUAUAUUGGCUUUUUUAACAUAUUAUCAGAAAGAAGGAUAUUGUCAGAAAUCUAUUUAAUGGAAAAAUCAUGGAUUUGGUGAUGGUUUGUAUAAAUCACAAUUAAAAUUUAAGGGACUCAAAGUGUUAUUUAUUAAAUUCAUAGCAAAAGGUAUACUGAAUCAGCUGAGAUGAGACAUGAGUAUCCAUGAGUGUUCAACAUUAAUCAUUCUGCUAAUAGAGAAGAAACAAAAUUUGCUUUCAGAAAAUUUAUGACUGACCAGAUAAACUAUGUGUAUAAGAAAAUAUUUAUUAGUGUUAUUUAUCAUCUUUUGAAUUAAUUUCUUGCUUUUCCUGAACUGUAACACCUUCUUGUGAAUAGUAUGUCCUAGAAAUGUAUUUAAAAAAAAACUCCACUUAAUCUCGUUAUAAGAAACCCUGUGGUUUCUCUCAUAUUACUGACCUAAGGUCAAAUGGCAUAACCUGAUACAAUUUCAUUUUCUAUAUGGUCUUAGUUAAAAAAAAUAUAGUUUAUCUUCUAUUCAUAUCCCUGCAAAUGCGUCCUCCUGCAUUUCCUUCUUUCACUUCCUGUCUUGUUCCCCAAAAAUGCAGUUAGAUACUUUGAGCUAACAAAUGAAAUACAUCUAUAAUAGUCUGAAGACUUUACCAUGAAUCAUCAUACACAGCUAUAAUCAAUGUGUAACCAUUACUCUAAGUCCUUUAUAACCAGCUCUCAGAGCUGGACCAGUAGUUGUAACUGAUGGAUUCUUACUUGAUCUUUAGCAUAAAAAUGUCUGUAAUAUCUAUAUCUAUAAAAAAAAAUCUCAAUCUUAUCUAUAAAGGACUUUUAUUUUUUUUCUCCUUUAAAUCUUUGUGAAUUACUUAUUUUCCCAUCUACACCAAUGGAAACCAUUUUUCACAGCUAAACUUUUAAGUGUGUGACGAAUUCUUUUGUGUUUGCACUUAGCCACAUGCAUAAGUCUUCAGCAUAAUGUAAAAUUUUCAGUUCUUCUAAAAGCAGGAAAUAAAUUUUCUUGUUUCUACA
Zonotrichia albicollis (white-throated sparrow) is the source of this 7120-nucleotide non-coding RNA. The record is from RefSeq and is a predicted model, not a curated record. Lineage: Eukaryota; Metazoa; Chordata; Aves; Passeriformes; Passerellidae.